GAUGAACGCUGGCGGCGUGCCUAAUACAUGCAAGUCGAGCGAACGGACGCUAAUCUUGCUUCUCUGAUGUUAGCGGCGGACGUGUGUGUAACACGUGUAUAACCUACCUAUAAUUCUGGGAUAACUUCGUGAAACCGGAGCUUAUACCGUAUAAUCUUUUGAACCGCAUGGUUCAAAAGUGAAAGUCGGUCUUUCUGUCUCUUAUAGAUUGUUCCGCGCUGCAUUAGCUAGUUGGUAAGGUAACUGCUUACCAAGGCAACGUUGCAUAGCCGACCUGAGAGGGAGAUCGGACACACUGGAAGUGAGACACGGUCCAGACGCCUACGGGAGGCAGCAGAAGGGAAUCUGACGCAAUGGGCGAAAGCAUGACGGAGCAACGCCGCGUGAGAGAUGAAGGUCUUCGGAUCGGAAAACUCUGUUAUUAGGGAAGAACAUAUGUGGAAGUAACAGUGCACAUAGUGACGGUACCUAAUCAGAAAGCCACGGCUAACUACGUG
Molecule: ribosomal RNA, 497 nt
Filed under: uncultured bacterium
Lineage: Bacteria
Description: partial 16S ribosomal RNA
Rfam family: Bacterial small subunit ribosomal RNA
Source: RNAcentral